Ictidomys tridecemlineatus (thirteen-lined ground squirrel) is the source of this 79-nucleotide small nucleolar RNA. Lineage: Eukaryota; Metazoa; Chordata; Mammalia; Rodentia; Sciuridae. The record is from Ensembl.
GGUCAAUGAUGAGCUGGCAUGUAUUCUGAAUCAAAAGUUGAUCAUUAAUACUUUAGCUCUAGAAUUACUCUGAGACCUG